Molecule: unclassified non-coding RNA, 239 nt
Filed under: uncultured fungus
Lineage: Eukaryota; Fungi
Description: sequence contains ITS1, 5.8S rRNA gene
Rfam family: 5.8S ribosomal RNA (bases 191-239)
Source: RNAcentral
UCUCCGUUGGUGAACCAGCGGAGGGAUCAUUACUGAGUUACAAACUCCAAACCACUGUGAACCUACCACUGUUGCUUCGGCGUGCCGUCCCGGGCGCGGCUCCGGCCGUGACCCGGGCCUAGGCGGCCGCCGGGGACCCAAAACACUGUUCUAAUAGCGAACUAUCUGAGUGGCAUAAGCAAAUAAUCAAAACUUUCAGCAACGGAUCUCUUGGCUCUGGCAUCGAUGAAGAACGCAGC